Molecule: long non-coding RNA, 641 nt
Filed under: Capsella grandiflora
Lineage: Eukaryota; Viridiplantae; Streptophyta; Magnoliopsida; Brassicales; Brassicaceae
Description: long non-coding RNA (CGRA_LNC000124)
Source: RNAcentral
UUUUUGUCAAAGACUUGUUUUUAUUUCUCAAAUCAAAGCAAGUACAAGAAGAAGUGAUUCAAAGAUCACAAAGUUUAACAUAAAGCUAAAAGAGACAUUUCCCAAUGCCAAAAUACACAUAGAUAAGGUGAAACGACAUAGAUUCCAUGAGAGCUUUGAAAUAAAGGCGGUAAAGCGUUAUGUCACAUGUGAGAUCAUGGUGUGUCGAAUGGUCGUCGAUGAGCGAAUCGAAGGACGACAAAGAAGUCAUUGUCAGCAGACAAAGUGACGUUGAUGAAGAGGACCAAGAUGGGUUUCUCGCUGGCAUGAGAAUAUAUAAGAGCAUUUUAAUUAGGUCAAAAACCUUAAAACGUUUAGGCUCAUAUCUCAAUGAAGCUACAACAAGUGUUCGCGAGUGAUGAAUGCAAAACUGUAACAUAACAGGCAGAUCCUCUCUCACAUGAAGUCACUAACGUACGUACUGUCAUGGUGUGUUCACUAACAAGCGACAGUUGCAGAGACUAGUGGAGAAGCCACUAACGUACGUACUGUCAUGGUGUGUUCAUUGAAUAAGAAGAUGAUUUGACAUCCGGAAGCACGAUGAAGAUCCUUGAACAGAUUCAACCUCACAACUUAAUACAUUCUCACCCAAGCGAGUAGCU